GACGAACGCUGGCGGCGUGCUUAACACAUGCAAGUCGAGCGGGGAACUUCGGUUCCCAGCGGCGGACGGGUGAGUAACACGUGGGGAACCUGCCCCAUAGUGGGGAAUAGCCUUCCGAACGGAAGAUUAAUACCGCAUAAUACUCAGAAAUCACAUGAUUUCUGAGCCAAAGGAUUUAUUCGCUAUGAGAUGGACCCGCGGCGCAUUAGCUUGUUGGUGAGGUAACGGCUCACCAAGGCUUCGAUGCGUAGCCGACCUGAGAGGGUGAUCGGCCACAUUGGAGCUGAGACACGGUCCAGACUCCUAGGGGAGGCAGCAGUGGGGAAUAUUGCACAAUGGGGGAAACCCUGAUGCAGCAACGCCGCGUGAGUGAUGAAGGUCUUCGGAUCGUAAAACUCUGUCUUAUGGGACGAUAAUGACGGUACCAUAGGAGGAAGCCACGGCUAACUACGUGCCAGCAGCCGCCGUAA
This 470-nucleotide ribosomal RNA is filed under the name uncultured bacterium. Its description in RNAcentral is "partial 16S ribosomal RNA". It matches the Rfam family "Bacterial small subunit ribosomal RNA", at positions 28 to 523 of the family's 1533-position model. The record is from RNAcentral.